This 424-nucleotide ribosomal RNA is filed under the name uncultured bacterium. RNAcentral's name for it is "bacterial SSU rRNA". It matches the Rfam family "Bacterial small subunit ribosomal RNA", at positions 359 to 776 of the family's 1533-position model. The record is from RNAcentral.
GAAUUUUUCUCAAUGGGGGAAACCCUGAAGGAGCGACGCCGCGUGGAGGAAGAAGGUCUUCGGAUUGUAAACUCCUGUCAUUAGGGAACAAUGUGCAGAUGUUAACUGCGCCUGCAUUGAUAGUACCUGAAGGGGAAGAGACGGCUAACUCUGUGCCAGCCGCCGCGGUAAUACAGAGGUCUCAAGCGUUGUUCGGAUUCAUUGGGCGUAAAGGGUGCGUAGGCGGCGGGGUAAGUCAGGUGUGAAAUCUCGGGGCUCAACCCCGAAACUGCACUUGAUACUACCUUGCUAGAGUACUGGAGAGGAGAUUGGAAUUUACGGUGUAGCAGUGAAAUGCGUAGAUAUCGUAAGGAAGACCAGUGGCGAAGGCGAAUCUCUGGACAGUUACUGACGCUGAGGCACGAAGGCCAGGGGAGCAAACGGG